AUUAAAACUUUUAUACGUGUUGUUCUCCAUCAUCAUCUGGUACACGCGUAACUACGGAAAACAAAGGCGGUUUCUUAAUUUCAAUCUUACCGUUCCUAAUAACUGAUAAUAAUGUAAUGGUUUAGUUCAUAGGUAGUUUAUCACACUGGCGUAGAAUGGCUUCCUGCUUUUGUCUUUUGGUAAAGAAAUUCCCAACCUUGAAGCUUCCGAUUCGACAGUCUCUGGACCAACAAAAUGGACCAGAGACUUCUUGUGAACGCCAUCACAAAAGAAAUUACAGGCUGGAAUUGUAAGGUCCAGGUAGUAGACAGGUUUCGGCCUCGCCAGAGCAAAGACUCCUUCGUCCACUUCCAAACAAUACUCUUGCAAGAUGAAAGCGUAAGUUUUCCUGUCACAGGUUAUUCUAACUCUUUAAUGGUCAUUCGGGGUACAUUAUAAUAUUUCCGUUUCCUUAUUGUUGGUGCAUCUUGGUAGCGAUACGGUUGCUUCCGUUAUAUACCCUGCCUGCUAUACCUCCAUCUUGUGAACUCUUCUCUUCCCUUAUCAAGUAUAUCCGCAUUUGGUCAAAUAUUUCUUCCCAUUCUCAGGAAAAGCAGGUUUCCAUAGUACUAUACGGUGAUGGCAUUCCCAAAUAUGAGAAACUGUUUGUUCAUUUUCAAACAUAUUUGGUUUUUUUCGCGAAAGUUAGGGAUCCCCGUAUUUAUUCAAUACAAGCCGCUACGUAAGAAUGGGUGGUUGACAGAUACACAAUUGUUGUGCCCAUUACCAGAGACGCAUUGGAAGAACCUCUGCCUGUUCCAACAAAACUGGAUGCACUUUCAUUCUUGCAUAUUGAACACCAACAUCCAGGUGCUGAAUUUGAUUUACUGGCGGUGGUGGUUAAUUGCAGCGCCAUACAAUAUAUAGCUGACCAAAACAACAUUUCAGGGAAACGAAUGUGAUAGACCAGAGGUAAGUUACUCGACCCCUUACAUAGAGUUCACCAAAUCUCCUGGUUACUUGAUGAAACAUGCUUGCGUUGUAGUAAUUUAUGUGUCUGCUGUAUCGACCAGUAAGAAACCUUUUCUAUUUACUAUAUGGGAUGAUCUAGCAGACAAUGAAGGAGCGGCAUUAUUACACCACCUGCAUGAAUACCCCGUCAUUCUUGCCAAACGUAUAAGUGUUACUGAAUUUCGCUGUGCUCUAAGAUUGGCAACAAGAUAUCAAACGACAAUUUUAACAAAUCCUCAGGUGAAGCACAAUGAACAAAUGUUACUAUCUUACACUCUAAGAGGUUCAUCGUCAUCACCUUCCUUGCUGAAUCUAGAGCAUGUUGAAGAUCAAGUGGUAUCUAUAUCAGCCAUUACAGAGUUGUUAUCUACGGUGCAAACUUUCCCCGUGGAAGGCAGAAUAUCACUUCCGAACCACCCUAAAUCAUUUUACUUGCUCGCGUGCUCAACCUGCAAUCACUAUGUACAUCCCAAGACUAUAAAAACAGUUCAGUGCUUCAACUGUAACCUACAUCGGGUAUUGGUCACCAGGUAAGUGCUACUUUAAUCGCAAUAUCUAAUCUCUCCAACGUGCACUUUGUUGUUCCUCCGUCUAUCAAUUGAAAGGAUGUUAUCUACAAUUCCCUCACACUAACGUCAUAUAUUGCUGUGAAUUCUACUGCAAUCUGUUCAGCUGAAAACAGAAGGCAAAAAAAGCCAGUAGGUGUAAACGGAAAAAAUAACAAAACCAAAAGUGUAACAUCCUUACAUGUAUCCAUCUAUUUCGUGCACAUCCACCGAGAUGUUUCAGGUCUCUUGUUUAGGCAGGUUGUUGAAAGUUAAAUUGGGGAAGUUGAGCAAACUUAUCAUUAUGUUUCUGUAGAAAAUGUCUUAUGUCGAAAAUGUUUUAUAGUACGAAGUCAUUUUUCUGUAAUUUAGAUUAGGAAGUCGUUUCCUGCAUCAAUUUACAGUGUUUGUAGGGAAUAAAUAUGUAGCAUGUGAGAAUUACCUCAAGCGGAUUCUGAGGUAUGACAAUCCUGGUUUAGUCUUAGCAAGAACCAAUCCUGAGAAAAUAAUAUUAGUGUGCAAAUAUAUUCACUGCUUAAUAUUUUCCCCCAUGUCAAACAACUUCAGUGAAAUUAAGAUGGUUUGAUUACAAAGAGUGCUCAAGUAUCACUACCGCAUGGCAGAGUCAUGAAUUAUAAUAGUUCGUUGGUCUUUACCAAUCAUUAUUUGGACGAUCCAUGAAACUGGUGCCCCGAAACCAAUCGUGCAGUGCAUGGAUUCAUAUAAGCAACUAAAUGAAGCUUACAAAACAAAAACAUUAUGAUCUAUGAGGAAAACUAAGGCUUCACUAGAAAUUAUUUUUAAUCAAGAGACGUCACUGGAAAUUAUUUCCGGUUUAACUUGGAGAAAAUAUCAUUUCACGCAAAAGAAACGUCGACAUAGUUUUUGUUUUGACAGUGUUUUCUAUUUAACUAUUUUCCCAUUAAUGUGCAUCUAUCCCACAUAGUUUUUGUUUUGAUAGUGUUUUUGGUUUAACUAUUUCUCCAUUAAUGUGCAUCCAUCACACACAUCAUGUGCUCCACUCUUACAUAUAGAUCAUAUCCACAGGCGUCAAUGUGUAAUGCCAUUCAAGUUUACGAAAAUGUCAAGGAUGUUUUUGUCUUCUCUUCCGGCGUUAUCUCACCAAAUUGUAUGAAUACACUCAACAAAAAACAUUUUAAAUACUCUAGCUUGUUGUAACCUUCCCUUUGAAUUUAUCAGUGCCCACAGACAAGAUACUACCUUAGUUGGCUGUUUUGCUAUCUAAACAGAUGAUUUUAUUUGCUUUGUCAUAAAUUGGUCACAUAAAACGGUUCUAGCAAACACAAAAAAGCCAAACAGACACACUUAGGCAUGUCUACAUGUUAUGACUUCAUUCUGUAGAUGUUGACAUGCUUCUAAUUCGCCCUGCCGGUGUGCCACCACAGCUAAAACUUUUGUACUACUACUACUUACCUUUGUAAAAAAAAUAUCUGCCCAUGUAUUUUAACAUGGUUUUAUUUUAUUCACAGGUGCCACUUUGGCCUUGACAUCAUGGAUGUAACUGUUAGGGUUUUUGUCCUGAUUUUCUUACAAAAAUUGAGUUUUACUUUUUCUUGUAGGGAAAAUAAAAGUAAUCAUAAAUAAUUUUGCUUUUCCUGAAAGGAAAAUAUAAAACUUUUUCAUAUUUGACAAACCUCUUUCUUGAAGGAAAUGUUUUGGGCAUCUAUAAAUAAAAACUCCUCUUCUCAUACAAUAACAUAAUAGCAUCCACAAUGUAGUCUUUAAAGAGUCUUGUUUAGGUUUGUUUAAAGGUAGAUUUUCUCUCUCAUUAGUUUUUAUGUUUUUUAUAUUAGGUUUUAUAUAUAGGUCAAUUGGUCAAAUAAUAUAAUAAUAUUAAGUCUUUUAGUAUUGUUUUAUAUGUCUUCUGAAUUGUCACUAUAAUGGUUUACAACUAACAGCUUCCACAUGAUGCCCUCUCGAUUUCGAACCCAACAGCAACUGGCACAAUUACGGCAACCAUCUCUGAAGCGUUGGGAGAAAGAUUAUUGUCCCUAACUGCCGAACAAAUAUAUGAAUCUAUUGCAGCUCAGGUACAGAAUUACAUACCACUACCAAUGACGAAAACUCCUCCUCUUACCAUUAUCUUCUAUGGAUACAUAAAAAUACCAUGUUACACAUGCUCCUACUUAAUGUGAUAUGUUUUACUAGUUGCAUUUAGCAACAACCAUUCUCUGUUGCCCAUCUAAAUCACCAGCUCGCUCAUAACUGUUUAAGCUCCAGUUAAAAAAGCCAGUUUUCCAAUUUCCAGACCAAAAAUCUGGUAUGCUGGGUCUUGCGUCCUUCAAUGAAGUAGAAAGCUCAGUCCACGCAACAUCACUGUUACCCACGACUUCAACAGAGAUGGGUAAGAAGCAGAGAAUUGAACCACCCACACCAGCGAAAAUAAUUAGGGGGUCAGGUUGUGUGCCAUGUACAGCUAAAUUUUUGUUGCCUCUGCCAACUUCAUCACACGGUAUAGCAUGUACAGAUGCUUGCCUAUAACAACAUCUGAUCACAGGCUGCAUGAACAAACUUUCUGCGUUUUGCUGUUUGCAACCACAGUCUCCCAUGGCAGACGUACAUGUUCAUAGUUUUUGGUAUGUAAAUAGGUCAUAAGAAGAAUGAACUUUUAUGGUGAUAGUUUUUGCACGAGAUAUCUGUGUAUACUUUAAAUCUUACUUCUCGUACUUAACGAAAUAUGACAUUUCAAACA
Molecule: RNA transcript, 4248 nt
Organism: Capsicum annuum
Lineage: Eukaryota; Viridiplantae; Streptophyta; Magnoliopsida; Solanales; Solanaceae
Exons: 9
Source: RefSeq, a predicted model, not a curated record